UCCGGUGGAUAUAACGAAGAGGUCACACCUGUUCCCAUCCCGAACACAGCAGUUAAGCUCUUUUGUGCCGACAAUACUUGGCUGGUAACGGCCCGGGAAGAUAGGUCUCCGCCGGAU
Molecule: ribosomal RNA, 117 nt
Filed under: Clostridiaceae bacterium
Lineage: Bacteria; Bacillati; Bacillota; Clostridia; Eubacteriales; Clostridiaceae
Source: RNAcentral